RNAcentral lists this ribosomal RNA (402 nucleotides) under uncultured bacterium. RNAcentral describes it as "bacterial SSU rRNA". It matches the Rfam family "Bacterial small subunit ribosomal RNA", at positions 355 to 774 of the family's 1533-position model. The record is from RNAcentral.
UGGGGAAUAUUGCACAAUGGGCGAAAGCCUGAUGCAGCAACGCCGCGUGAGUGAUGAAGGCCUUCGGGUUGUAAAGCUCUGUCUUCUGGGACGAUAAUGACGGUACCAGAGGAGGAAGCCACGGCUAACUACGUGCCAGCAGCCGCGGUAAUACGAAGGGGGCUAGCGUUGUUCGGAAUUACUGGGCGUAAAGCGCACGUAGGCGGAUUGUUAAGUGAGGGGUGAAAUCCCAGGGCUCAACCCUGGAACUGCCUUUCAUACUGGCAAUCUAGAGUCCGGAAGAGGUGAGUGGAAUUCCGAGUGUAGAGGUGAAAUUCGUAGAUAUUCGGAGGAACACCAGUGGCGAAGGCGGCUCACUGGUCCGGUACUGACGCUGAGGUGCGAAAGCGUGGGGAGCAAACA